This 882-nucleotide ribosomal RNA is filed under the name Lacticaseibacillus paracasei. RNAcentral describes it as "bacterial SSU rRNA". It matches the Rfam family "Bacterial small subunit ribosomal RNA", at positions 416 to 1290 of the family's 1533-position model. Lineage: Bacteria; Bacillati; Bacillota; Bacilli; Lactobacillales; Lactobacillaceae. The record is from RNAcentral.
UUUCGGGUCGUAAAACUCUGUUGUUGGAGAAGAAUGGUCGGCAGAGUAACUGUUGCCGGCGUGACGGUAUCCAACCAGAAAGCCACGGCUAACUACGUGCCAGCAGCCGCGGUAAUACGUAGGUGGCAAGCGUUAUCCGGAUUUAUUGGGCGUAAAGCGAGCGCAGGCGGUUUUUUAAGUCUGAUGUGAAAGCCCUCGGCUUAACCGAGGAAGCGCAUCGGAAACUGGGAAACUUGAGUGCAGAAGAGGACAGUGGAACUCCAUGUGUAGCGGUGAAAUGCGUAGAUAUAUGGAAGAACACCAGUGGCGAAGGCGGCUGUCUGGUCUGUAACUGACGCUGAGGCUCGAAAGCAUGGGUAGCGAACAGGAUUAGAUACCCUGGUAGUCCAUGCCGUAAACGAUGAAUGCUAGGUGUUGGAGGGUUUCCGCCCUUCAGUGCCGCAGCUAACGCAUUAAGCAUUCCGCCUGGGGAGUACGACCGCAAGGUUGAAACUCAAAGGAAUUGACGGGGGCCCGCACAAGCGGUGGAGCAUGUGGUUUAAUUCGAAGCAACGCGAAGAACCUUACCAGGUCUUGACAUCUUUUGAUCACCUGAGAGAUCAGGUUUCCCCUUCGGGGGCAAAAUGACAGGUGGUGCAUGGUUGUCGUCAGCUCGUGUCGUGAGAUGUUGGGUUAAGUCCCGCAACGAGCGCAACCCUUAUGACUAGUUGCCAGCAUUUAGUUGGGCACUCUAGUAAGACUGCCGGUGACAAACCGGAGGAAGGUGGGGAUGACGUCAAAUCAUCAUGCCCCCUUAUGACCUGGGCUACACACGUGCUACAAUGGAUGGUACAACGAGUUGCGAGACCGCGAGGUCAAGCUAAUCUCUUAAAGCCAUUCUCA